CGUGUGUGAAGAAGGCCUUUUGGUUGUAAAGCACUUUAAGCAGUGAAGAAGACUCCGUGGUUAAUACCCACGGACGAUGACAUUAGCUGCAGAAUAAGCACCGGCUAACUCUGUGCCAGCAGCCGCGGUAAUACAGAGGGUGCAAGCGUUAAUCGGAAUUACUGGGCGUAAAGCGAGCGUAGGUGGCUUGAUAAGUCAGAUGUGAAAUCCCCGGGCUUAACCUGGGAACUGCAUCUGAUACUGUUAGGCUAGAAUAGGUGAGAGGAAGGUAGAAUUCCAGGUGUAGCGGUGAAAUGCGUAGAGAUCUGGAGGAAUACCGAUGGCGAAGGCAGCCUUCUGGCAUCAUAUUGACACUGAGGUUCGAAAGCGUGGGUAGCAAACAGGAUUAGAUACCCUGGUAGUCCACGCCGUAAACGAUGUCUACUAGUCGUUGGGUCCCUUGAGGACUUAGUGACGCAGCUAA
Molecule: ribosomal RNA, 463 nt
Filed under: Psychrobacter maritimus
Lineage: Bacteria; Pseudomonadati; Pseudomonadota; Gammaproteobacteria; Moraxellales; Moraxellaceae
Description: bacterial SSU rRNA
Rfam family: Bacterial small subunit ribosomal RNA
Source: RNAcentral